Lynx canadensis (Canada lynx) is the source of this 197-nucleotide long non-coding RNA. RefSeq lists it as uncharacterized. NCBI's taxonomy places the organism in Eukaryota, Metazoa, Chordata, Mammalia, Carnivora, Felidae. The transcript has 3 exons. The record is from RefSeq and is a predicted model, not a curated record.
CUCUGUGGAGGCUUCUAGUCCUCGAAAUAAUGUCCAAAGCAGCUUAUCAGCAAUUCUGCAGUAUUAAGGUCUUGCCCCUUCCUUACCUCAGUACUUCAUCUGUUUUCCCUCUCUCCAUUGUUUCCCAUGUUUCAGCCCCAGUGGGCCUCUCUUGGGUUCCUUACACAUCUUUUUCUUUUUUUUUUAAUGUUUAUUUA